Molecule: ribosomal RNA, 460 nt
Filed under: uncultured bacterium
Lineage: Bacteria
Description: partial 16S ribosomal RNA
Rfam family: Bacterial small subunit ribosomal RNA
Source: RNAcentral
CCUACGGGAGGCAGCAGUGAGGAAUAUUGGUCAAUGGGCGGAAGCCUGAACCAGCCAAGUAGCGUGAAGGAUGACUGCCCUAUGGGUUGUAAACUUCUUUUAUAUGGGAAUAAAAUGUUCCACGUGUGGGAUUUUGUAUGUACCAUAUGAAUAAGGAUCGGCUAACUCCGUGCCAGCAGCCGCGGUAAUACGGAGGAUCCGAGCGUUAUCCGGAUUUAUUGGGUUUAAAGGGAGCGUAGGUGGAUUGUUAAGUCAGUUGUGAAAGUUUGCGGCUCAACCGUAAAAUUGCAGUUGAAACUGGCAGUCUUGAGUACAGUAGAGGUGGGCGGAAUUCGUGGUGGAGCGGUGAAAUGCUUAGAUAUCACGAAGAACUCCGAUUGCGAAGGCAGCUCACUGGACUGCAACUGACACUGAGGCUCGAAAGUGUGGGUAUCAAACAGGAUUAGAUACCCUAGUAGUC